GGACUGGGAUGGCUCCGUCUCUUUGGUACCCAGUGAGUGUAUUUGGAAGCCCAAGACGCACACAGACAUCAGGCUGUUUACAAGUUCUCUGCAGGGGCUGGCCCCAGGCUGGAGCACACGGGACAGAGCUCUGGGCGCUCACAGAUUUAAAACACCCGAUUCAGGUCCCAGAAAACACCAUCGUCUUACUUUAAAGCCAAACUUCAAAUAAUGAUCUGGCACUAAAUUCUUUGAUUCUGUGAAAUUUUGGGAUUCUGGGCGAGACUGAAAUCCUGAGCAGGACCGAGGACAGCAAAGCUCUAGGACAGACGUCUGGACCUGUGUGGUGACCUGUGUGAUGAAGGACGAUGGUGGGCAGCCGGCCGAGCACGCACACGAGGCUGUCCUCCCGGGAGCUGUCUGAGGAGGUGAUGGUGACAUGUCUGUCUGGUGGGUUCCCAGGAGGGGAGGGAGCAGCUGGGAGGCCCCAGGUCCCCAUCUCUGAGCAUCACUCACUGGGGGAGGGUGGGGGAGGUGGACAGAUGGUGGCUGGCUCCGUCUCUGAGCCAGGGUUCCAGAAUCAGUCCUGAGGGCCUGCUCCAUGCCAGGUACUGGGCCCGGGACUCAUCCGGGUGCUGGGCAGACACAAUCCUGCCCAGAGGAGCUCAGUGCCCACAGAGCCGAGGCACAGGGGCGGCAUGAACUGAGAAUGAAGGAGACACUUGCAGGCGGAGGUCAGCGUCCUGGAGCUAGUGAAGAGCGCGUGUCCUUGUGACGCUGGUGGGGGCUGCUGACGGAGGGCCACGAUCCAGCUGAGGCCUAAGGGAUUGGAGGGAAUGGGCUGGAAGGAGCCCUGGGCCUGAGCUCAUCCCACAGACUCGUACAUGAAUUUAACUGGGAUUAGUUGCCAAUAUCUGUAUUCUAACCGUGGUUUUCCAGUUUCUUGGAAAAUCAGAACAUCUGGCUCUGCCGGGCCCCGAUUCCGGUGGAUUUCAGGUUCUAGCAGGGAGCACGUGGGUGGUUUGGCUCCCCAGCCUCGGUCCCAGUGUGGAGUCCCGGGACCCAGGACGCUGGGCUCCGUGGUAGGACCCCUCGGCCCGCCUCCCUGAUCAUCUGGCUGCCAAGACCCCCACAGUGAGACUGGCAGAAGCGAAGUCAGGUGAAAUCGGGCUGUGAACGUGUUUAUCAGAAACCACACGUGCAGCCGGAAGACUGUCGCCAUGGCAGCUUGGAAGUGACAGAUUGGGGCAUCGUCUGCCAAGAGAUGAGCAAGAGGAGGGCCGGCAGAGGUUCCUGGGCCCAGGGGAGCACAGUGAUUUAUCCGUGGGAGACCAGGACACUGGACAGGCAGGAGGGACUCGCAGAGCUCAUUGUCCACCCAGAGCACGGGACGCUUCUCUGGGACGUCUGGGCACCGUCUCUUCUUGGUCAGGCCCACCUUAUGCACAAGAAGAAGGGAACCAGUCAAAUGCCAAACGGUCCUGGCCCUCGGGGUGACAGUGUCCAGGAAAGAGACCGACAGACUCUCUCAGGAGACACAGUAAAAGGAACCACCCAGAUCUGCCAAGAGCCUCCGAGACCUUGGGGUCACUUGCUGCCAGACGACAUUCCUCCUCCUAUUACGGAAUGUAGGCGCCAUAUGGAAAUCUGAACCUUUAAACACAGUGGACCUGUUUCUGCUGGGAAAUGAGCUGAGUUCUGCCUGUGUGCGAGCCCAGUGCCGAGGGAAAGGAGCCGAGAGAGAGGGAGAGAAGAGGAUCUGGGAGACGGGAGUUGAGACACUGGAUCCAGCCAUGCCUGAAGCUGUGACUCUUAGCUCAGGUUUUCCAAACCUCAGGACCGUUGACAGUUUGGGUGAGUCUUUGUGGUGGGGGCUGUUCUGAAUACCAAUAGCACCACACAGCCCCCUCCACCCAUGCCAACGAAGAAAGUCUCCCGCUGUUGCCAAAUGUCCCCGAGGGCCACGCUGCCUCUGUUCACACACUCUUCAGGCUGCGGAUGAGUCGUGGGGUCCGUGAAGGUUCCCGUUGCCCAUUGCUCCUCAAGGUGGGGUUCUCUUCUUGUCUCCGGGAGGCUUUCUGUCCAAAGAAGAGCUACACCUCUAAGACGGAGCAGCUCUGAAUCACCUGGUGUCCUGACUAGAGAAGAAGUCUGCACCUUAGCCAGGUCCCGGGAGAAGGG
Ictidomys tridecemlineatus (thirteen-lined ground squirrel) is the source of this 2160-nucleotide long non-coding RNA. RefSeq lists it as uncharacterized. The record is from RefSeq and is a predicted model, not a curated record. Lineage: Eukaryota; Metazoa; Chordata; Mammalia; Rodentia; Sciuridae.